GUAGGUGAACCUGCGGAAGGAUCAUUAACACGUAUCCACGUAUCAACCCCUCUGUGAAAACCUAUCUCUUGUAAGGUUUGGUCUUAGUGUGCUGUUCGCAAUUAAGUCCUAAUGAUGGAGGCUCUUUUUGGAGAGCCUAGGGCUUGAAAUUAAUAUUAGCACCAGCCGCCACUUUUCCAAUGAUUCGUUGGUCCUUUACAACUUUUAACCCCUUUGUCCUCUUUUGUACUCUUUUGGACUGAACCAAUUC
Molecule: unclassified non-coding RNA, 250 nt
Filed under: plant metagenome
Description: partial contains small subunit ribosomal RNA, internal transcribed spacer 1, and 5.8S ribosomal RNA
Source: RNAcentral